GACGAACGCUGGCGGCGUGCUUAGCACAUGCAAGUCGAACGGAAAGGCCCUGCUUGCCGGGUACUCGAGUGGCGAACGGGUGAGUAACACGUGGGUGAUCUGCCCUGCACUUCGGGAUAAGCCUGGGAAACUGGGUCUAAUACCGGAUAGGAGCCAUUUUUAGUGUGAUGGUUGGAAAGUUUUUUCGGUGUAGGAUGAGCUCGCGGCCUAUCAGCUUGUUGGUGGGGUAAUGGCCUACCAAGGCGGCGACGGGUAGCCGGCCUGAGAGGGUGGACGGCCACAUUGGGACUGAGAUACGGCCCAGACUCCUACGGGAGGCAGCAGUGGGGAAUAUUGCACAAUGGGCGCAAGCCUGAUGCAGCGACGCCGCGUGGGGGAUGACGGCCUUCGGGUUGUAAACUCCUUUCGCUAGGGACGAAGCUUUUUGUGACGGUACCUAGAUAAGAAGCACCGGCUAACUACGUG
RNAcentral lists this ribosomal RNA (465 nucleotides) under uncultured bacterium. Its description in RNAcentral is "partial 16S ribosomal RNA". It matches the Rfam family "Bacterial small subunit ribosomal RNA", at positions 28 to 507 of the family's 1533-position model. The record is from RNAcentral.